This 577-nucleotide ribosomal RNA is filed under the name Salmonella enterica. RNAcentral's name for it is "partial 23S ribosomal RNA". It matches the Rfam family "Bacterial large subunit ribosomal RNA", at positions 46 to 666 of the family's 2925-position model. RNAcentral also lists the same sequence under 1 other name. The record is from RNAcentral. Lineage: Bacteria; Pseudomonadati; Pseudomonadota; Gammaproteobacteria; Enterobacterales; Enterobacteriaceae.
GCGAUGAAGGGCGUGCUAAUCUGCGAUAAGCGCCGGUAAGGUGAUAUGAACCGUUAUAACCGGCGAUACCCGAAUGGGGAAACCCAGUGUGACUCGUCACACUAUCAUUAACUGAAUCCAUAGGUUAAUGAGGCGAACCGGGGGAACUGAAACAUCUAAGUACCCCGAGGAAAAGAAAUCAACCGAGAUUCCCCCAGUAGCGGCGAGCGAACGGGGAGGAGCCCAGAGCCUGAAUCAGCAUGUGUGUUAGUGGAAGCGUCUGGAAAGGCGCGCGAUACAGGGUGACAGCCCCGUACACAAAAGCGCAUGUGCUGUGAGCUCGAUGAGUAGGGCGGGACACGUGGUAUCCUGUCUGAAUAUGGGGGGACCAUCCUCCAAGGCUAAAUACUCCUGACUGACCGAUAGUGAACCAGUACCGUGAGGGAAAGGCGAAAAGAACCCCGGCGAGGGGAGUGAAAAAGAACCUGAAACCGUGUACGUACAAGCAGUGGGAGCACCCUUUGGGUGUGACUGCGUACCUUUUGUAUAAUGGGUCAGCGACUUAUAUUCUGUAGCAAGGUUAACCGAAUAGGGGAGC